AGAACGCAGCGAAAUGCGAUAAGGAAUGUGAAUUGCAGAAUUCAGUGAAUCAUCGAAUCUUUGAACGCACCUUGCGCUCCUUGGUAUUCCUUGGAGCAUGCCUGUUUGAGUAUCAUGAAAUCUUCAAAGUAAAUCUUUUGUUAACUCAAUUGGUUUCUACUUUGGUAUUGGAGGUCUUUGCAGCUUCACACCUGCUCCUCUUUGUUCAUUAGCUGGAUCUCAGUGUUAUGCUUGGUUCCACUCGGCGUGAUAAGUUAUCUAUCGCUGAGGACACUGUAAAAGGUGGCCAAGGUAAAUGCAGAUGAACCGCUUCUAAUAGUCCAUUGACUUGGACAAUACUUUUAUGAUCUGAUCUCAAAUCAGGUAGGACUACCCGCUGAACUUAAGC
RNAcentral lists this unclassified non-coding RNA (388 nucleotides) under plant metagenome. RNAcentral's name for it is "partial contains 5.8S ribosomal RNA, internal transcribed spacer 2, and large subunit ribosomal RNA". The stretch from base 1 to 115 matches the Rfam family "5.8S ribosomal RNA", at positions 40 to 154 of the family's 154-position model. The record is from RNAcentral.